CUUAGUGCAGUGUACUCCGAGCAGUACUCAGUGCUCUGUUUUGAGGAUUACUUACAGACUACACAGUGCUGUGACCUAGAUGUUCCAAGAAUAAGAGCAUGCAGUUGAGCUUUCAAGAUAAGAAGAGAAAUAUGGUAUUGAUUUGCCUAGUAAAAGGGACACCCUCAAACACGCGGAAUCCAUCUCUGCUUGUCACUCAGUGCUGCUCUGCCUUUUGGACAAGGCUGCUUGUAUGUGUGAAGUUAUUCAGCAAAAACAUAUUGCCAAGCCUGAAGAUUAGAGCCAGCUUCAGAAAGCCAUUUAACAAAGAGCUGGAAAGAAGCAGCAUCUCUACAUGGACUUAUCAGGAAGCUUAUGCAUCAGAUACUCAAUGCAAGUGCUAAGCAAGGAGGCAGUGUUGACUGAACAGCCACAGUAAGCACUGUAGGGAAAAACCUGCAGCUGAGGCUGGAUACUUUGUUCUGGUAUCUGAGUUCAAGGAGUGGAUACACUGAAAGAACAUCAGAGAAAAUUACUCAGGUUUCCAGCUGAAAUAUUGCUCAGAAGAUGGAAUGUCACUACAAAUCCUGGUCUCUAAUCAGCGCUCUUUUUUCUCUCUCACUUGAAUAAUUUAGUUACUAAGAAAUUAAGUUUAAUUUAACAUGCAGUUUGCCUAAAAUCCUCCUUGCUUUAUUUUCUUUCUUAAGAUAGAUAUGUGCAGAGGCUGAGGGCAUUGGGUUGCAUAUCCAAGUAUAAUAUGAGGUACCCUAAUCAAACUUACUGAUAUGAUGAUCCGUGCUAGUAACUGACAUUUCAAACUUUCAGAACAUCUUAAAACUUUCUCUGCUAUCUGCAGUUUCCUGCAGAAAGAAAAAGCCAAGGGUUCCAACUCACCAUUAGGUGGUGCCCCUGUCAUUCAUUUAAAAAAUAAAAAAUAAUUAUAAAAACUGCAAUAGAAUCUACUAUCCUUAUCUUCAUUGUGCAUGCCUGCUGAGGGUAAAGCUGUGCUAUUUGAGUGGAAUGAGGGGACAAAACAAGUGUCAUUUCCUUUUUAGGAAGUGAGAUCCCAUCAUGUGCAGACUUGAGGAAGCCAGCAUUGCAAAUUGGUGCUUUCUCCACUUAGCACUGGAGCUGUGAGAAUGCAUUUGUGUCCCUUGAACCUUCUUGGCCAGCAGGUCCGGGGGCUUUUGCACUGGUUUUGUG
This 1182-nucleotide long non-coding RNA is filed under the name Gallus gallus (chicken). Lineage: Eukaryota; Metazoa; Chordata; Aves; Galliformes; Phasianidae. The record is from RNAcentral.